AAAAAGACAAAUCAUGGGUUUCCGUGUCCAACUUUAACUGUCCGUCUUAUAUGAAAUUUUUUUAUAAUUUGUAUUUUCAUUGUUGUUAGAUGAUAAAACAUGAUUAAUAUUUUAUGCGUGACUUGUCUUUCUAAUUUUUUUUUUCAUAAUUUUUUUAAAUAAGACGAACGGUCAAACAUUGGACACGGAAAGUAGGGUUUGUCUUUUU
Molecule: microRNA precursor, 208 nt
Organism: Oryza sativa Japonica Group (Japanese rice)
Lineage: Eukaryota; Viridiplantae; Streptophyta; Magnoliopsida; Poales; Poaceae
Rfam family: MIR812 microRNA precursor family
Source: Rfam